UAGUGAACAAGACAUGGUAUUUAAUCUAAUUUAAUUUAAUUUCAAUUCCUUUUCUCCCAUGUAGACGAGUGCUGGUGGCAGACUGAGGGAGAAGGAAUAACCCCAGCACUGUGGAACACAGGGGUCUGCCAGUGCUGGCGAAGCCUUUUUUGAGAAGCACACAGAAAAUCUGCCAUCCCAACCCCAAAUCUCCUUCCCACUGGCCACCAGCCUGAGCAGGAGCUGUGUCCAGGUGCUCCAUCCCAGCUCUGACUCCUGAUGGAUAUUUCCCUAUUCCUGAUCUCCUUUUU
This 290-nucleotide long non-coding RNA is filed under the name Zonotrichia albicollis (white-throated sparrow). RNAcentral describes it as "lncRNA (ENSZALG00000004214.1)". The record is from RNAcentral. Lineage: Eukaryota; Metazoa; Chordata; Aves; Passeriformes; Passerellidae.